AUGUUAUUUAUUUUUAAUAAAACAGGUAUUACCGUCUCUAAGCCAGACCUGAUCACCUGUCUGGAGCAAGGAAAAGAGCCUUGGAAUAUGAAAAGACAUGGAGUGAUAGCCAAACCCCCAGGAGUGCCACCUGUCAAUUAUCAAGAAAAAAAUUGCCACUUUAGUCACUGCUUGACAAGCAUGAACUUGCACCUAAAUAAUCACAUGUUGAUUCUUUUCCUGAGACAUCACUUACUGCAGGGAUACUCUCAAAUGCCUAGAAAAAUGCUAUCUGCAAUAGUAAAGCUGCAAGAACCAAACGACAGAGAGCUCCUACCAGCAUACAGUGGCACCCUUGGCACAGUUGGAUUCUACUAGCAAUUUGGAACCAGAAAUAGUAGGAUCAUAUUAAAUUAAUGACUUAAUGUUCUCUAAAUAUUAGGAUUACACUCCAUUACCAGUAACAAAAUAGUUGGGUAUGGAUUAAUAAUAUGUGUACAAUGAUUUAUUGACUAUAUUUAUGUAAUUUUAUUGAUAUACUCCAUGUUAUAAACCAUACAUCAAAAAGAAAUGAUGUAAAUAGUUAGAUAAAAUAACAUUGAUAAUGUUAGCAUUUUCUUCUCCCACUACCAAUAGACAUUGAGCUCACCCUCUCUAAUUCAUGCCCUUCCCUCUGUUAAGUGGCCAUCACACACUGAAAAGGACUUGACUUUCUGAAUUAUCAAAUGGUGUAUUUCUCCAUGAGAACCUGAAGGGCAUUGCUACUGAGCCUGGACAGGAAAGAACCAUGGUCCCCAUGGAACAGGUGUACAAAUAAUUACUUUUAAUAAUAAAUUAUUUUUAUUGUAUAUUUAAAAAAUAUAUCU
This 845-nucleotide long non-coding RNA is filed under the name Macaca mulatta (Rhesus monkey). RNAcentral's name for it is "lncRNA (ENSMMUG00000049392.1)". The record is from RNAcentral. Lineage: Eukaryota; Metazoa; Chordata; Mammalia; Primates; Cercopithecidae.